AUGCUUCAACUUUUUCGGGAGCCCCUGUCUUAUCAUAUCAUUAAUAUUGACAUUAUUCAGGAUGACAAUGAUGAUUUGCCUUGUUGGCCUUUAGCGCCGAAUGGUAGUUGUUCUCCUAAAUCUGCUUACCAAAUUUGCUUACAAGACACUCAUGCCCAUCCUAGAACAACUCCCUCUCUAGUUUCUGCAGACUUAAAAAACUUUCUUAACCUAGUGUGGAAGCACAAAUCCUUGCUUCCUAAAAUUAAAAUGUUUGCUUGGUGUCUCCUCAGCAAGGCUCUGCCUACUGGUAUGAGAGCAGGAAGAUUCUCCAACCAUACUUCUCAAAUUUGCUCCAAAUGUACUCAACAAGAGGAUGAUUUUCAUCUCUUUUUCCUUUGUCAUUUUGCUAGAGCUGCCUGGUUUGCUCAUCCUUGGUUUAUUAGAUCUGAUGCUCUCGUUCAUAAUCAGGACUCUUUGCUUACCACCAUUACGUCUUUAAUGACUUCAUAUCACCCUCAUGCUUCGCUACAGAAUAUUUUCAAUUUCUUAUGGUCCUUAUGGAAAGCUAGGAACGAUUGUCUUUUUGAACGCAGGAAAGGGCAUCCUAAUAGGAUCCAUGUUAUGGCUGCUAGUACGGAUAGUGCAUUGCAAGCUGAGGCACUUUUGUCAUCUGAUGGGCAAAAUAGUGUUACUAACAAUCUUCAUAAUGAACAACAAAUUCCUUUGCAGGGAAAAUCCAUUCAAUCUGAUCUCAUCAUUAAGGGGCGAAGAUUUAUUUGGAUGCAGCUUUUCGAACUUAAAAAAUACCAGGUACUCUUCGAGGACAGGUUGGUACAGGUAUUGGUAUCUACUUUUAUCUUCCUAUUGAUCAUGGGGAGCUUAAUAUUCAGAUUUAGGCUUCUGCCCUUGUAA
This 894-nucleotide ribosomal RNA is filed under the name Triticum aestivum (bread wheat). Its description in RNAcentral is "partial small subunit ribosomal RNA". Lineage: Eukaryota; Viridiplantae; Streptophyta; Magnoliopsida; Poales; Poaceae. The record is from RNAcentral.